UUAAGCGACUAAGCGUACACGGUGGAUGCCCUGGCAGUCAGAGGCGAUGAAGGACGUGCUAAUCUGCGAAAAGCGUCGGUAAGGUGAUAUGAACCGUUAUAACCGGCGAUGUCCGAAUGGGGAAACCCAGUGCAAUUCGUUGCACUAUCGUUAACUGAAUACAUAGGUUAACGAGGCGAACCGGGGGAACUGAAACAUCUAAGUACCCCGAGGAAAAGAAAUCAACCGAGAUUCCCCCAGUAGCGGCGAGCGAACGGGGAGCAGCCCAGAGUCUGAAUCAGCUUGUGUGUUAGUGGAACGGUCUGGAAAGUCCGACGGUACAGGGUGAUAGUCCCGUACACCAAAAUGCACAGGUUGUGAACUCGAAGAGUAGGGCGGGACACGUGGUAUCCUGUCUGAAUAUGGGGGGACCAUCCUCCAAGGCUAAAUACUCCUGACUGACCGAUAGUGAACCAGUACCGUGAGGGAAAGGCGAAAAGAACCCCGGCGAGGGGAGUGAAAAAGAACCUGAAACCGUGUACGUACAAGCAGUGGGAGCACCUUCGGGUGUGACUGCGUACCUUUUGUAUAAUGGGUCAGCGACUUAUAUUCUGUAGCAAGGUUAACCGUAUAGGGGAGCCGCAGGGAAACCGAGUCUUAACUGGGCGUUAAGUUGCAGGGUAUAGACCCGAAACCCGGUGAUCUAGCCAUGGGCAGGUUGAAGGUUGGGUAACACUAACUGGAGGACCGAACCGACUAAUGUUGAAAAAUUAGCGGAUGACUUGUGGCUGGGGGUGAAAGGCCAAUCAAACCGGGAGAUAGCUGGUUCUCCCCGAAAGCUAUUUAGGUAGCGCCUCGUGAACUCAUCUUCGGGGGUAGAGCACUGUUUCGGCUAGGGGGUCAUCCCGACUUACCAACCCGAUGCAAACUACGAAUACCGAAGAAUGUUAUCACGGGAGACACACGGCGGGUGCUAACGUCCGUCGUGAAGAGGGAAACAACCCAGACCGCCAGCUAAGGUCCCAAAGUCAUGGUUAAGUGGGAAACGAUGUGGGAAGGCACAGACAGCCAGGAUGUUGGCUUAGAAGCAGCCAUCAUUUAAAGAAAGCGUAAUAGCUCACUGGUCGAGUCGGCCUGCGCGGAAGAUGUAACGGGGCUAAACCAUGCACCGAAGCUGCGGCAGCGACACUAUGUGUUGUUGGGUAGGGGAGCGUUCUGUAAGCCUGCGAAGGUGACCUGUGAGGGUUGCUGGAGGUAUCAGAAGUGCGAAUGCUGACAUAAGUAACGAUAAAGCGGGUGAAAAGCCCGCUCGCCGGAAGACCAAGGGUUCCUGUCCAACGUUAAUCGGGGCAGGGUGAGUCGACCCCUAAGGCGAGGCCGAAAGGCGUAGUCGAUGGGAAACAGGUUAAUAUUCCUGUACUUGGUGUUACUGCGAAGGGGGGACGGAGAAGGCUAUGUUAGCCGGGCGACGGUUGUCCCGGUUUAAGCAUGUAGGCUGGUUGUCCAGGCAAAUCCGGAUAAUCAAGGCUGAGGUGUGAUGACGAGGCACUACGGUGCUGAAGUAACAAAUGCCCUGCUUCCAGGAAAAGCCUCUAAGCAUCAGGUAACAUCAAAUCGUACCCCAAACCGACACAGGUGGUCAGGUAGAGAAUACCAAGGCGCUUGAGAGAACUCGGGUGAAGGAACUAGGCAAAAUGGUGCCGUAACUUCGGGAGAAGGCACGCUGGUGUGUAGGUGAAGCCCCUGCGGGUGGAGCUGAGACCAGUCGAAGAUACCAGCUGGCUGCAACUGUUUAUUAAAAACACAGCACUGUGCAAACACGAAAGUGGACGUAUACGGUGUGACGCCUGCCCGGUGCCGGAAGGUUAAUUGAUGGGGUUAUCCGUAAGGAGAAGCUCUUGAUCGAAGCCCCGGUAAACGGCGGCCGUAACUAUAACGGUCCUAAGGUAGCGAAAUUCCUUGUCGGGUAAGUUCCGACCUGCACGAAUGGCGUAAUGAUGGCCAGGCUGUCUCCACCCGAGACUCAGUGAAAUUGAACUCGCUGUGAAGAUGCAGUGUACCCGCGGCAAGACGGAAAGACCCCGUGAACCUUUACUAUAGCUUGACACUGAACAUUGAGCCUUGAUGUGUAGGAUAGGUGGGAGGCUUUGAAGCGUGGACGCCAGUCUGCGUGGAGCCAACCUUGAAAUACCACCCUUUAAUGUUUGAUGUUCUAACGUUGGCCCCUGACCGGGGUUGCGGACAGUGUCUGGUGGGUAGUUUGACUGGGGCGGUCUCCUCCCAAAGCGUAACGGAGGAGCACGAAGGUUAGCUAAUCCUGGUCGGACAUCAGGAGGUUAGUGCAAUGGCAUAAGCUAGCUUGACUGCGAGCGUGACGGCGCGAGCAGGUGCGAAAGCAGGUCAUAGUGAUCCGGUGGUUCUGAAUGGAAGGGCCAUCGCUCAACGGAUAAAAGGUACUCCGGGGAUAACAGGCUGAUACCGCCCAAGAGUUCAUAUCGACGGCGGUGUUUGGCACCUCGAUGUCGGCUCAUCACAUCCUGGGGCUGAAGUAGGUCCCAAGGGUAUGGCUGUUCGCCAUUUAAAGUGGUACGCGAGCUGGGUUUAGAACGUCGUGAGACAGUUCGGUCCCUAUCUGCCGUGGGCGCUGGAGAAUUGAGGGGGGCUGCUCCUAGUACGAGAGGACCGGAGUGGACGCAUCACUGGUGUUCGGGUUGUCAUGCCAAUGGCACUGCCCGGUAGCUAAAUGCGGAAGAGAUAAGUGCUGAAAGCAUCUAAGCACGAAACUUGCCCCGAGAUGAGUUCUCCCUGAGACUAUAAGUCUCCUGAAGGAACGUUAAAGACGAUGACGUUGAUAGGCCGGGUGUGUAAGCGCAGCGAUGCGUUGAGCUAACCGGUACUAAUGAACCGUGAGGCUUAACCUU
Molecule: ribosomal RNA, 2900 nt
Filed under: Klebsiella pneumoniae
Lineage: Bacteria; Pseudomonadati; Pseudomonadota; Gammaproteobacteria; Enterobacterales; Enterobacteriaceae
Also listed under: 2 other names
Description: bacterial LSU rRNA
Rfam family: Bacterial large subunit ribosomal RNA
Source: RNAcentral